This 497-nucleotide ribosomal RNA is filed under the name uncultured bacterium. Its description in RNAcentral is "partial 16S ribosomal RNA". It matches the Rfam family "Bacterial small subunit ribosomal RNA", at positions 28 to 507 of the family's 1533-position model. The record is from RNAcentral.
GAUGAACGCUGGCGGCGUGCCUAAUACAUGCAAGUCGAGCGAACAGAUAAGGAGCUUGCUCCUUUGACGUUAGCGGCGGACGGGUGAGUAACACGUGGAUAACCUACCUAUAAGACUGGGAUAACUUCGGGAAACCGGAGCUAAUACCGGAUAACAUAUUGAACCGCAUGGUUCAAUAGUGAAAGGCGGCUUUGCUGUCACUUAUAGAUGGAUCCGCGCCGUAUUAGCUAGUUGGUAAGGUAACGGCUUACCAAGGCAACGAUACGUAGCCGACCUGAGAGGGUGAUCGGCCACACUGGAACUGAGACACGGUCCAGACUCCUACGGGAGGUAGCAGUAGGGAAUCUUCCGCAAUGGGCGAAAGCCUGACGGAGCAACGCCGCGUGAGUGAUGAAGGUCUUCGGAUCGUAAAACUCUGUUAUCAGGGAAGAACAAAUGUGUAAGUAACUGUGCACAUCUUGACGGUACCUGAUCAGAAAGCCACGGCUAACUACGUG